AGAAAAAUGCCCAGCCAGCCCUCAGUUGCUACAGCCCUCUAUUGUUUCAGCUCAACAACAACACGGGGCUGUAGCAGUGGGGGCUGGAUGGGCAUCUCAAU
This 101-nucleotide microRNA precursor is filed under the name Chlorocebus sabaeus (green monkey). RNAcentral describes it as "mir-3937 microRNA precursor family". It matches the Rfam family "mir-3937 microRNA precursor family". The record is from Rfam by way of RNAcentral. Lineage: Eukaryota; Metazoa; Chordata; Mammalia; Primates; Cercopithecidae.